UCUAGUGAUGAUGGCAAAGAGGUCACACCCGUUCCCAUACCGAACACGGAAGUUAAGCUCUUUUGCGCCGAUGGUAGUUGGGGGAUUCCCCCUGCGAGAGUAGGACGUCGCUGGGC
RNAcentral lists this ribosomal RNA (116 nucleotides) under Psychrobacillus sp. OK032. The record is from RNAcentral. Lineage: Bacteria; Bacillati; Bacillota; Bacilli; Caryophanales; Bacillaceae.